AAUGAACGCUGGCGGCAUGCCUAACACAUGCAAGUCGAACGAGAUCUUCGGAUCUAGUGGCGCACGGGUGAGUAACGCGUGGGAACCUACCUUUUAGUACGGGACAACGUUUGGAAACGAACGCCAAUACCGUAUACGCCCUCCGGGGGAAAGGUCAGCCGCUAAAAGAGGGGCCCGCGUCUGGUUAGCUUGUUGGUAAGGUAAUGGCUUACCAAGGCUACGAUCAGUAGCUGGUCCGAGAGGAUGAUCAGCCACACUGGGACUGAGGCACGGCCCAGACUCCUACGGGAGGCAGCAGUGGGGAAUAUUGGACAAUGGAGGCAACUCUGAUCCAGCAAUGCCGCGUGUGUGAUGAAGGCCCUAGGGUUGUAAAGCACUUUCAACGGUGAAGAUGAUGACGGUAGCCGUAGAAGAAGCCCCGGCUAACUUCGUGCCAGCAGCCGCGGUAAUACGAAGGGGGCGAGCGUUAUUCGGAAUUAUUGGGCGUAAAGGGCUCGCAGGCUGCUUGAACAGUUAGACGUGAAAUCCCCGGGCUCAACCUGGGAACUGCGUUUAAUACUAGCAAGCUAGAGAAAUAGAGAGGAAAGUGGAACUCCCAGUGUAGAGGUGAAAUUCGUAGAUAUUGGGAAGAACACCAGUGGCGAAAGCGACUUUCUGGCUAUUUUCUGACGCUGAGGAGCGAAAGCGUGGGGAGCAAACAGGAUUAGAUACCCUGGUAGUCCACGCCGUAAACGAUGUGUGCUAGAUGUUGGAGGGAUACCUUUCAGUGCCGCAGCUAACGCACUAAGCACACCGCCUGGGAAGUACGGUCGCAAGGUUG
Molecule: ribosomal RNA, 820 nt
Filed under: uncultured marine bacterium
Lineage: Bacteria
Description: bacterial SSU rRNA
Rfam family: Bacterial small subunit ribosomal RNA
Source: RNAcentral